RNAcentral lists this ribosomal RNA (253 nucleotides) under uncultured bacterium. RNAcentral describes it as "partial 16S ribosomal RNA". It matches the Rfam family "Bacterial small subunit ribosomal RNA", at positions 524 to 776 of the family's 1533-position model. The record is from RNAcentral.
UACGUAGGUGGCGAGCGUUGUCCGGAUUUACUGGGCGUAAAGGGCGUGCAGGCGGUUUGUUAAGUGCAGGGUGAAAGCUCCCGGCUCAACUGGGAGAGGUCCUUGCAUACUGGCGAACUCGAGGGAGGCAGAGGAAAGUGGAAUUCCCGGUGUAGUGGUGAUAUGCGUAGAUAUCGGGAGGAACACCUGUGGCGAAGGCGGCUUUCUGGGCCUUACCUGAUGCUGAGACGCGAAAGCGUGGGGAGCGAACCGG